This is a long non-coding RNA of Mus spicilegus (steppe mouse), 1802 nucleotides long. NCBI's taxonomy places the organism in Eukaryota, Metazoa, Chordata, Mammalia, Rodentia, Muridae. The record is from Ensembl.
AGGGUUUAUUCAGCUUACACUUCCACACUGCUGUUAUCACCAAGGAAGUCAGGACUGGAACUCAGGCAGGUCAGGAAGCAGGAGCUGAUGCAGAAGCCAGGGAGGGAUGUUCUUUACUGGCUUGCUUCCCCUGGCUUGCUCAGCCUGUUCUCUUAUAGAACCAAGACUACCAGCCCAGAGAUGGUCCCACCCACAAGGGGCCUUUCCCCUUUGAUCACUCAUUGAGAAAAUGCCUUACAGUUGGAUCUCAUAGAGGCAUUUCCUCAACUGAAGCUCCUUUCUCUGUGAUAACUCCAACUGUGUCAAGUUGACACAAAACUAGCCAGUACGGGCCUAGACAGGUGGCUUAGUCCUGUGCUGUCCUAAGCAGGGGAGAUGACAACUGCAGAGUGUCAGCAGGGUCAAAAGAAGAGAAUGACUGCAGAGGAGUCACUGCCACUGGUCAAUGUGACCAGCAUCUAACAGGUCACAUCCACUCCGAUGAGGGUAAAAUAGGGCUAAACAAAAGGGCUGGUAGGAGCUGGGGAAACUGACUCAAUGUGGGCAGCCGUGCAAGGCAGGCGCUGGUCCUCGCUUUGGACCCAUGUGCUCUACCAGAGUCAGGGUCUACAGCCAGCUGAGGGAACGCCACCACAGUACCUAUCUCUCUCCGUUCUCAAUUUACCUUGGAAGGAGAAACUGUGGGAGAAGAAAAUGUCUACUGUCGAUUAAGCGUGAUUUCCCUGUAGGGACAGCACAGCGCUUAAGUGCCGGGGCCGGUUGGCCUGAGUGGCAAGCUAGUUUCAUUGUUCCUACUGAAUGAAAACAGAAACGAGCUGGGAAAGGACGCAGCCAUUUUCAGAGCGGUCAAAGACGUUUAUACAUUAGAAGAGGUUUUAAAUGUUGGAGAAGGGGGACAGGGGUCUCAAAUUUUGCCUCUGAGUUCCUGAAAAUGAUCUUAUAAAAUGCAGCAGCAUCUUGCUGCAGCCAAAAUCUGCCUGGGAGCAUAACUAACAGACCUUUAGCAGUAGAGCCCCCUUUCUCUAGGGCUCCCUCUACUGGUCACCCUGGGAACUCUAGGCCCCUUUAAAUUAGCUUAGAAAGCCCCAGGCAGAGAGGGUCCGCCCUCUUCUCCAGGCAGGCUGGGCAGAUCCCCUGAUAGGCUAAGGUCCACUUGGCUCCCAACCAUUCAUAGUAGAACAUAGUUUUGGAGUUUACAGUCCCAAAGAUCCCGUUAUUCACACAGAGAAAGGCAUGAGGCAGCCCCACCUAUUUCUGAUUGCUCUUCCUUCCAGGGUGGCUACCUAAGAACCCUCAUCAAGGCUUCUUCUCUUCAUUUGCUAACAAAGUGAUGGGGCUUUUUGUCUCUUUUUGUGUGCCUUUGUUCUCCAUAGGUUGGGGGGAAAUCCCUCCAGCUAGUUAGGCCACUGACCAAUACACCCAGGAAACAAAGAUAGGAGCUAAUUCUGCCAUGGUUGUAAACUAGUCAUGAACCUUUUGAACAAUCUUAAUGGAGUGGGAUCAAAGGCAAAGUGGCUUUGUCUCCCAGCCUCUGGAAUUACUGCGUCCUUCUCUAGUAAGCAGGCCCUCUGGUGAUGACUUAGACUCACAAGGCCUGCCCACGCUCUACUAGUACAGACUUUCCAGUGUAUUAAAGCUGUCUACUUCUCUGUCCUGCCAGGCUCAGGACUCAAGGGACAGGAAGUAAGAGAAGCAAAGGCAUGGGCCAUCUGUCCCCCUUGCUCCUCACCUCAGAGUGAAGGCACAUGUCUCUCCUGGGGUCUCCUCCCUCAGGCUCCAGACUCUAGCCCAAAAGAAAGGCU